This 625-nucleotide ribosomal RNA is filed under the name Streptomyces sp. RNAcentral describes it as "bacterial SSU rRNA". It matches the Rfam family "Bacterial small subunit ribosomal RNA", at positions 164 to 803 of the family's 1533-position model. The record is from RNAcentral. Lineage: Bacteria; Bacillati; Actinomycetota; Actinomycetes; Kitasatosporales; Streptomycetaceae.
UAAUACCGGAUAUGACCGUCUUGGGCAUCCUUGACGGUGUAAAGCUCCGGCGGUGCAGGAUGAGCCCGCGGCCUAUCAGCUUGUUGGUGAGGUAAUGGCUCACCAAGGCGACGACGGGUAGCCGGCCUGAGAGGGCGACCGGCCACACUGGGACUGAGACACGGCCCAGACUCCUACGGGAGGCAGCAGUGGGGAAUAUUGCACAAUGGGCGAAAGCCUGAUGCAGCGACGCCGCGUGAGGGAUGACGGCCUUCGGGUUGUAAACCUCUUUCAGCAGGGAAGAAGCGAAAGUGACGGUACCUGCAGAAGAAGCGCCGGCUAACUACGUGCCAGCAGCCGCGGUAAUACGUAGGGCGCAAGCGUUGUCCGGAAUUAUUGGGCGUAAAGAGCUCGUAGGCGGCUUGUCGCGUCGGUUGUGAAAGCCCGGGGCUUAACCCCGGGUCUGCAGUCGAUACGGGCAGGCUAGAGUUCGGUAGGGGAGAUCGGAAUUCCUGGUGUAGCGGUGAAAUGCGCAGAUAUCAGGAGGAACACCGGUGGCGAAGGCGGAUCUCUGGGCCGAUACUGACGCUGAGGAGCGAAAGCGUGGGGAGCGAACAGGAUUAGAUACCCUGGUAGUCCACGCCGU